This 465-nucleotide ribosomal RNA is filed under the name Vreelandella stevensii. RNAcentral describes it as "partial 16S ribosomal RNA". It matches the Rfam family "Bacterial small subunit ribosomal RNA", at positions 338 to 795 of the family's 1533-position model. Lineage: Bacteria; Pseudomonadati; Pseudomonadota; Gammaproteobacteria; Oceanospirillales; Halomonadaceae. The record is from RNAcentral.
CCUACGGGCGGCAGCCGUGGGGAAUAUUGGACAAUGGGGGCAACCCUGAUCCAGCCAUGCCGCGUGUGUGAAGAAGGCCCUCGGGUUGUAAAGCACUUUCAGUGAGGAAGAACGCCUGGUGGUUAAUACCCAUCAGGAAAGACAUCACUCACAGAAGAAGCACCGGCUAACUCCGUGCCAGCAGCCGCGGUAAUACGGAGGGUGCGAGCGUUAAUCGGAAUUACUGGGCGUAAAGCGCGCGUAGGUGGCUUGAUAAGCCGGUUGUGAAAGCCCCGGGCUCAACCUGGGAACGGCAUCCGGAACUGUCAAGCUAGAGUGCAGGAGAGGAAGGUAGAAGUCCCGGUGUAGCGGUGAAAUGCGUAGAGAUCGGGAGGAAUACCAGUGGCGAAGGCGGCCUUCUGGACUGACACUGACACUGAGGUGCGAAAGCGUGGGUAGCAAACAGGAUUAGAUACCCUUGUAGUC